Molecule: long non-coding RNA, 697 nt
Organism: Oncorhynchus tshawytscha (Chinook salmon)
Lineage: Eukaryota; Metazoa; Chordata; Actinopteri; Salmoniformes; Salmonidae
Source: Ensembl
AGUAAGGCUGCAGCACCACCUGGUAUGGAGUGGACGGCCCAAUACAUUACUGGGGUCGAGCUCCCUGCACUCCAGGACAUUUACACCAGACAGUGUCUGAGGAAUCACCCAAGCCAUGGACUGUUCACUCCGUUACCAUCUUUCAAAAGGUGUUGGAGCAUUUCUGUGGGGACUUGCAUCCAUUCAGCCACAAGAGCAUUAGUGAGAUCGGGCACUGAUGUUGGGCGAUUAGGCCAGUCUGCAUUUCAAUUCAUCCCAAAGGAGUGGCUUCCGUCUGGCCCCUACCAUAAAGAUCUAAGUGGAGUGCUGCAAAGGUGGUUGUCCUUCUGGAAGGUUCUGCCAUCUCCACAGAGGAACUCUAGAGCUCGGUCAGAGUGACCAUCAGGUUUUUGGUCAUCUCCCUGACCAAGGCCCUUCUCCCCCGAUUGCUCAGUUUGGCCGGGUGACCAGCUUUAGGAAGGGUCUUGGUGGUUCCAGACUUCUUCCAUUUAAGAAUAAUGGAGGCCAUUGUGUUCUUGGGGACCUUCAAUGCUGCAGAAAUGUUUUGGUACCCUUCUCCAGAUCUGUGCUCGACACAAUCCUGUCUCGGAGCUCUACGGACAAUUCCUUCGACCUCAUGGCUUGGUUUUUGCUCUGACAUGCACCGACAACUGUGGGACUUUAUAUAGACAGGUGUGUGUGCCUUUCCAAAUCAUGU